Homalodisca vitripennis (glassy-winged sharpshooter) is the source of this 824-nucleotide long non-coding RNA. RefSeq lists it as uncharacterized. The transcript has 3 exons. The record is from RefSeq and is a predicted model, not a curated record. NCBI's taxonomy places the organism in Eukaryota, Metazoa, Arthropoda, Insecta, Hemiptera, Cicadellidae.
UCAUAACCUAGUCGAGAGGCAUUUUUAUUGUUCGAUUUAAACAUAUAACCAAAUACGAGUGUUUUAUACUACCUUGAUUUAUCGUGUCUGUAAGUUAUACCGUUUUUACGUAACUUUAUAUGGAAUUCGGAACAUUGUAAGUUGGUUUCUGGGAACUUUGCCGGAGAACAGUUGGUGCCUUACAGUUAACUUUGACUUGUAAUAUAUUGUAAGACUAUGCGUCCCAGUUUUGUUUUCAAUAUUAUUGCUUACGGGAAGAAGGAUAUUGCGGAAAUUAGCCGGGAUAAGUUCUAAGGUAGUGCUGUGUACAAGUGGACUGCGCUGCUUCAGUUGGAAUUUCACACCAUCCAGAUCCAGGAAUAUAAUCCUGUACACGAUUCCUAACUCUUUGUUGUUGUGACUUCUUUAUCCCCUAGAUACUGUGUUGGAAGUUAACCAACGACCACAGGUAGCGGAUACACAGGUACUACCUAUACCAACACCCUGGAGGUCUUUAUGAAGAAACAAACUGAGGCAAUACAUUGAUGACGUCAAUGAACACAUAACGAGAAACGACUUACGGUCGAAUAUUUAUUUAAGUUACAGUAGUGGAAAACGAAAUUGUGUGUGCUGAUAUCAGUUGAAAACUUAACCAGUAAAAUGAACCUAACCCUGUCAUGACGCCAUCAGUCGUGGAUCACUAUUACCGGCUAGUUUCUCGUACUAAUUUAAUACCUCAAUUAUGUUUUGUAUUUUUAGAUUUAAUCCAGAUAGGAAAAAACUAAGAUUAAUAUGUUUAAAUAUAAAAAUCUAGUACAGAUCCUACAACAUUGUCUAGUUUAAUC